This 435-nucleotide ribosomal RNA is filed under the name uncultured bacterium. RNAcentral describes it as "partial 16S ribosomal RNA". It matches the Rfam family "Bacterial small subunit ribosomal RNA", at positions 29 to 507 of the family's 1533-position model. The record is from RNAcentral.
AGCGAACGCUGGCGGCAGGCUUAACACAUGCAAGUCGAACGGGCUUCUUCGGAAGUCAGUGGCAGACGGGUGAGUAACACGUGGGAACGUGCCCUUCGGUUCGGAAUAACUCAGGGAAACUUGAGCUAAUACCGGAUACGCCCUUUUGGGGAAAGGUUUACUGCCGAAGGAUCGGCCCGCGUCUGAUUAGCUUGUUGGUGGGGUAACGGCCUACCAAGGCGACGAUCAGUAGCUGGUCUGAGGGGAUGAUCAGCCACACUGGGACUGAGACACGGCCCAGACUCCUACGGGAGGCAGCAGUGGGGAAUAUUGGACAAUGGGCGCAAGCCUGAUCCAGCCAUGCCGCGUGAGUGAUGAAGGCCUUAGGGUUGUAAAGCUCUUUUGUCCGGGACGAUAAUGACGGUACCGGAAGAAUAAGCCCCGGCUAACUUCGUG